UGGAGGCUUUGAUCUCAUUUUUACAGCUUUAUAGUUUAAAUAUUGAUGCAUCAUUCAAUUUGCAGUACGUAAUAUUUUGUCUAUGAUGGUAGCAGCUUGACAAAUCUAUUGUUUUGUUUGAUUCAACUAAAACAUGCAAUGAUGAUCAGCAGAUGAAAACAGAGGGAAGGAGGCAGCUCACAUAGUUCCAGCAAUUCUAGUGCUAAUAUGGGUGUUUUCCCCUUCAUCAAACUUGGCCAAACCGAAGUCGGAGAUCUUAGCAUUGAGAUUGCUAUCAAGUAGCACAUUGGUAGUUUUGAUGUCUCGAUGUACAAUUGUUAAACUCGAUUCUUCGUGCAGGAAAGCUAGACCUUUUGCUAUGUCAAGACAAAUUUUCUGCCUACUAGGCCAGUCCAAUAUCAGCUGGCUUUCUUGAGGACCUGCUCAUUGACACAGGCCAAUCCAGUGAAAUUCAAUUCAUCAAACAAUUGUCGGUACAGAGUGUUGAGAUCUUUUCUCUCUUUAACUUUUAUAAAAUCAAUAUCAACAUUUUCUUUGCUUGUGGGGACAUGGAAGCGUCCAAACGAGGAAAAGAACACUCGCUCAAUGUGGUUCCAAUCACAGAACCAUCAAAGAAAGGGGGAAUAAAAGAGGUUUAGGACAUUAAGCUUACCGAAUAAAGCAUGUGCAAGGCUAUUAUUUUCCAUGUAUUCAUAUACCAAUAACAGCUGAGUUCCCUCAACGCAACAUCCAUACAAUCUAACAACAUUCGGGUGUUGUAAUCCUGAAAUCAUGCCUAGUUCAUUCAGAAAUUCUCUGUCUCCUUGUCUUGAUUGUGAAGAAAGUUUUUUAAUCGCAAUUAUGGUGCCAUCAAGCAAUACACCCUACAGCAGAGGUAUAACAUAUAAUUUUUGUUAUAUAUUUCAUCACAUAACCCAUACUCCGAAACAUCAUAAAUUCAGUAAACAAAAAGCACGUUAUGCAGGUACCUUGUAGACAGCUCCAAAACCACCUUUUCCAAUUUUAUUUGCAGCGUCAAAGUUGUUCGUGGCAGCUUUCAUUUGUAUAAAGGUAAAAAAGCCAGUCUGCAGAUCUAACCCCCUCAAGACUUGGAAAAGAUUGAGGGAACCAAUUGAAUUACACAUUCAAUAAGCUUGAAAAACAUGCAUACGUUCAAAUAGAUCAUCCUAGAGAAAUUAUCUUGAAGUAUAAAAUUGUAGAUUCAGAUUUGUUAGAUUACCUUGUUCCCUUGAUGGCUUGGGUCGAAAAUAGCCUUUCCACCAUAGAAUACCUAAGAUUACCAAAAUCAGGCACAGAACAGAAACAACAGCUCCCACUACAAACUUCAAAUUCUUUUCCCAUGCAUUGAGAACUCGAGGCUUGUGAUCUACCAACAAAAGGGAAGAAAAGGUACAAACCGUUAUUCUCAAACUGCAUCUCCUGAAGUAACACUGCAUGUGCAUAUCAUAUGGCUGUAAAUAUGUUUACUUAUCUGAAAAUAUAAGUACUUAAGACGGUAUCGGAUGCUUAAAAUUUCCUUUUGAGAAAAUGUAGGCACAUAAAGUGGGUCUUAUGUUGCUGUGUCAGUUUACAGUAAAGUUCUACUAGAUUCAGCUACCAAGAAUCUAUACCAUGCAGACAAUAGUUUAAGGGCAACUCCAUUAUUGCUUCACGUCAUGUACAUGUUAAUCCACUUUGAAUUAAACAAAUUUGACAAUUAAGAAAAGAAAAUCCCAAAUAUAAAUGGGAGAUUGAUUAAGCACAUGAGAAGAACGAAUGGCUAUUUUAAUUAUAGAUCUUACCGGAGUCUACUGAGAUAGCUGAUAUCAAGGGACCAUAUGUUCCUCUUCUUGGGAUUGCAGUUGUCCCCUUCCCAGCCCAGUGAAAGCGUAUUGUCAAAGUUUUGUUCCUCACAACUGUUUUAAAUUUCCUUAUGACUGCUUUAUCGACCCCCUUUGCCUCAUUUUUAAUAUUCAAAUCUUUCAAUUCAAGUUUCUCCUGCAACAAGCUUAUUCGAUCAAUCUGGCUUCAAUAACAUGCAAAUUACACUACAUAUUAACAUGAACUACCUGUACAUAAACAUCAAAUAUCCUCCUUCCAAGACUUUGAUAGGAUCUAUUGUCUCUGAUAACUAUCUCUGCAAAGUGAAGUGUAACCGUAUAAUUUCCAUUUGCUAAGCAACGGAAGUAAUAAGUGCGAGAAAGAGGAGAAAGGCGUGCUCUUGUGUAUAAUUCAGAGUUGUUUGUUCUGAGAACAGAAAAAUUUUGAGCUAAAAAGUCCAUUGAAGUAGGAGUGGUAUCCCAGAAAAGCCCAGUGCUACAAGUUUCCCAAGUCUCUUUGAGUGGAACAUAUUUUGCUCGACCUCCUAAGUCUUCAUCUGCCUCAUAGUCGACUCCAUUAAUAGUUGUUGCUCCUCCACCACAAUUUAUAUUUACUGAAUGCCAAUCUAUAAAGAAUGAAAAAAAAACAUUGCAUGUUGAGUAUGAGAAAACCUUACUUGAAACAUGUUUCUAGAGUCUAUAGAUUUGCAUUUUAAUGCGAAGGAAUUACCUUUCGAACAAGGAAAGUUCUUCAGGCAGUUAUCCGAUCCUCUACAUCACUGUAGUAUGAAAAAGAAGCAUCAGUCUUGUUAAAGAGUGAUCAAAAGGAAAAUAAAAUAAAAUAAACAAAAUGCCUGGUAACAUUUUUGCGCAAUAAGAUACAAACUUACAAGUCUUUUCCUCCUGCAAAGCUUUCGAAAAAAUUUCUGAUGAAGAAAUAGACCAACCAGGUUAACAAUUCGACACUUCUUACAAAAAAUUGGAAAAGUGAUACGUACACAACAUAGGAAGUCAAGUUAAGAGGAUGUUUUUCUUACAGAUUUUCCCGAUAAGGAGGCGACUGAAGGCUUUCAGAAAAAUUGUUAUAAGAAAGAUCGACCUGGCUGCAAAAAUUGUAUAAUAUAUUAUAAACAACUAGAAUUGAAAUAUUAAGGUACAUUAAUUUUGAGUAAAACUAACAAUAUUAUAACCAGCAUAAGUUACCAAGAAUGGUACUUUUGAGCAACUAAAAAAUGGAUAAUUUGGGUUAUUUUUGCAUUGUUUGAAGAGAAAUAGGUAGUUUGGAAGUGUAUCCUUAAGAUUGUCAAAAAUGAAAAUCCUGAAGUGAUUGUAAACAACUUAAGAACUAUGAAUAUUCUUUGUAGAGUUGAGUUAACAAAAUGCAGAAAAUAAACGGAUAAUCAUGGCUAAGAAAUAUAAACACCAACACCAACACCACCACCACCACCAACAACAACAACAAUAAUAAUAAUAAUAAGGGAGGAUAGUAGACAUACUAGCGGCUAUCUCUAAUACUCAUCCAAUCUGGAAUGCGCCCAGUAAGCGAGUUUUUGUCAGGUACCUAAUCAGUAAGGAGCACACCACAGUUAAGCACUUCUGCUGGAACUAUAUUGGAAGGAUUUAAUUGGAACUUAGAAGUGAAGUAAGUUCAAGCAAAUUUAGAACUUAUAUGAGGAUAUUAAUGCAUGCAGACUUGUUCUUUCCUUCCUGAUUCUGAAGUUGUAAAAGUAUCAGUAAGCUAGUUUUAUUUUGAUCUUAUCCAUGAUUUUCCAAAAUGUGCAUUGUUCAUAUAAAAUAAACAAAUGAAAGUGUUCUCUAUUACCUAAGAAAAAAGUUCUAAUAAACUUGGAACUUUUGAUGAACUAAUGAUAAGAACAAAAACACUACCUAGAUUGAGUAUUAUUUCUACAGCAUGCUAUGCAUAGGGAUCUUCAUAUUGGUUAAUCUGGGUUUGGGUGAGUACAUCUCAAGAAUUCAUCGCACUUACAUGUACUGUGUUUUUGUAAGGCUUUCAGAAUCUGAAACGCUACCUUCCAAAUUAUUGAAGCUGAGAUCUCUGGAAGAAAUAGACAAAUCAACUAUUUCACAGUUAUAAAAAUAUAAAAUUUUAAAUGAUAGGUUAAUUGAAAUGUGAAAUCCAAAUAUAUAGAUGAGUCAAUUUAUGAAGAAUGAAUUCAUGAAAACAAGCAAACAUAUCAGAUUUUUAAGUUCUCAAGAUGCUGACCAUCGCAGAUUCAUGUACAUUAUUCUAAAUGUUCUUUAAAAAAGAUUGAAGUAUGAAAAAUUUAUUAAACCCACAAAAUAGUAUGUCCAGCACAGAGAUAAAUACUGAAAAUUGAGGUGAAAUAAGAAUAGCUGAAUUACAAAAUUUGCAGUCGCGAAAAUUCCCAUACAUAAUCUGGGAUUGGUCCAGAUAUAUUGCAGCCACCUAACAUCCUGCAGUACGAGUCCCUAUCAUGUGAGCACAAUUAUAGCAAAUGGAUGAUCAAUGAAGAAUUUUGAAAGCCUGUGGAUGACUUACAGCCUGUACAUGUUGUUCAUAUUUUUUAAGUUAGGAAACUUUGAUCCCUCUCCAGGCAGGUCACUGAUCCUUCUGAAUUAUAUUGCAACAUAAAAAAAAAUGUUAAAAAUGACCCUCAAUGCAGCAAUUUUAGUAUCUGAAUUGGAAUGGAACCAGAUUAUGUUAAUAGAAAUUAAGGGCUACAAAAUUUAGAGGGAUAAGACACACAAACUCACAGUUCCACUAAGUUAUGCAAGAGUGCUAAGCUUGAAGGAAUUGGCCCUUCAUAACCACUAGCUUGAAUCUCUCUGUCAGUAAAGGAAUUCAAAUUUAUGAUGUAAUCAUCACCAAAAUUUUCGAUGAAGAUCUAUAGAGACAAAAAGGCGUUUACAAUUUCUCAAGUUGCUUCCAACUUCGAAAAAUGUCGGGCAUCUUUCCAGUGAAAUUGUUACUGCUAAUCCUACUGUAUAAACCUCACAUAAAAGCAGGGGUAGUAAACAAAUCUAGCUUUAUUAACAGUAAACUCUAGAUAGUGCUUAAAACACUUACAGUUCUUUUAGGUUGGAGAGAUUAGCAAGGGACGAGGGAAACUUUCCGGUAAGAUAGUUAGCAUUAAGAAUACUGCAUUCAGGAAAGAGGCAAAAUCAAGCCAACCAUACUAUACUAAAUAUUUGUGGGAGAGAGUAGAGUGGUAAAUCAUGCAUGGAUAUCUAACAGGGAAAGAAGCCUAACAGGUUUUCCAGGUUAACCAAUCUCCCAAAUUCAGGAGGAAUCGUUCCAGAAAACAGGUUGUUCUCGAUGCUCCUGAAAGUACAACACAAAUAAGAAACCAGAUCUUGCUUUUAAAGAAAGAAGGAAAGAGAUAAUACACAAGAAAACAUCGGCAACCGAGGCAUACAGAAAUUUUAGAGUGGUUAUGUUCCCUAAAUAGCUUGGAAUUGGCCCUGAUAAGCGGUUCAUGGGAAGUGCCCUGAAAUGUAUUCGUUCUUAUCAGUUGAAUGAAAAUAAGAUUCUUCUGAACAGGAUAAAACAUGAAGUGGUCUAGUAGCUUACUCCGUCUCCAACUUUAGAGCAGCCCAUUCAUGUGGUAUUGUACCCUUAAGAUAGUUCUUAUAGAGAUGUCUAAAAGCAACACAGACAAAAAAAAAAAAACAAUUUUAAAAUGGAUAGAAGGUCAGUUCCUAGUUAAAGAGUAAAAUCAUCAAUUGUAACCUUCUUCUUACAAUGUCUUAAUAUAUGAUAGCUUCCCAAGUGAGCGUGGAAGAACGCCAUCAAGAUCCUGCCCUACAAGAUAGCUUUUUUCCGAUGGAUACAAAGCUUUUCAGAAGCAUGUUCAUUUCAAAAUUUCCAAAAAUAUGUUUGUCUAAUAAAUAAAAUGGCAGCAUUCAUAUUCUAUAAUUACUUAAAUGAUUAGUUGGGAUAAAUUUGUAUUCGUAUUUGAAGCUAUAGCCAUACAGUAAUUUAUCUUGAAUGAGUUAUUUGCCUAUGGGGAAUUCAAGCAAAUCACUGUUAUAGAAAUGAAGGCUAAUAUAAUGAAAAGAAAGAAUGAAAGAAAGAGGACUAGGUCUAUGGUUAAGAAAUUAGAAAAAACAUCAAUUUUCUUAUCACCGUUAAGGACAUACAUGCCAUCAAUAUGACAUUCACCAUUGGUGAAGGAGCAAUUGCAGGUGACAGUACUGUUGUUGACGGUACGAGAGCCAUGUAGCGGCGGUGGAGUAAACCAGCUUGACUUAUUGUUGCAAGGAUUCUCACUGAAAUUCCAAUCCUUCUUUCCAAGUUCUGCCGCUAUCUCACGAAGAGCUUUUACUGCAAAACCAGAAAGGAAAAGGAAAAAAAAGAAAAGAAAAAAAAGCCGUUGGAGGAAGCUGAGUUGGAUUGAAACACAUUUACAUGAAAAUCACCGGAGUAAUAUUUUGGGGUGAGUUCUUAAGACAUAUAUACGCAAACGAAUCAAACCUGCAAUAUACCGUUUAAUGCAGAUUACUUAAGAACCAAUAAAAGAGAAAACUGCCAAAACAUGAAAUGAAAUCUUAAGAACCAAUGCUUAUCUUUAACACAAACUGAGGCAAGAAAGAGAUUGCAAGACGGUACUGAAUUACCUUCAUACCGGGGAGGAUAAGGCGGUUCCACUUGGGCUUCAACUUGGUUUGGUUCCAUGCAAAUGAGCACCAAGAGGACAGUAACAAUGAUGUACCCAAAGAGUAUCUUCACGGUUGAAGGACACUGAGCAACUCUUCCCAUGUUCUUUCUUCGUCAAAUGAAGCAAUCUUAUUUCACUUAAACAUUUUGAUGCUGCUACGGAUCUUUAACUUACCAACUUUUGAAUUGCAUGAGAAAAAUAAAUACCAAUACUAACACAUUGAUGGUUUUAAUGAUGGUUCAGCUGACUUUCCUUUAUCAAUUUACUUAUUUACAUUUUAUAAAAAAAUCAAAAAAAAAAUGGAAUGGAGGUUUAUAGUAACAAAAUGAAGUCAUUGUUUACUGUUUUCGAUUGAGAAAUUUGUGCCAACACUCAACUAGUGAAUUUGAAAAAAAGAAAAGAAGCAAAUGUCACAUGGCUACCAGUUUUUGAAUUGUCCAGUAGUUGCAAAGGAUCUGGAAAUAAUACAAAUAAAAUGAAAAGCAUCAGAUAUAAAAUCUACUACUUCAUUUAAGACAAAAGGUAGUCCAAAGAUUAAGUUGGCUAUUUUGACAAGAUACAGUUUAGACAUUAUUAUAUGGUAAUGUUAAAAAGUUUUUAGAAAGUGCAUUAGGAUAUAAUUGAGGAAUUUGCUGUCCUAAUACGUACAGGAUAUCGGAGUUAAAAGCAGACAGAGAUCUUUUAUUUUUAUUUUUGCCAAUCAUGAGAGUUUUUUUGUUAUUGAUAUUCGAAGUAAGUUUUCUUUUCCAUCAUGACAUGCUUUUAUUAUGAGUAAGUCUAACUCCUCUCCCUCAAUAUAUAUUUUUAGGCGAGACAGUUGACUUGGUGAAUUUUUUUUAAAUAAUAAUUACCUGACGGGGAAAUUGUAAUGUAGCUUCGCAAAGAUAACUUUUGGUUUGUCGGGGUUAUCGGUCACUUGGAGAAAAAAUUCUAUGUGCAGGUUUGGGCUUUUUGAAUUGGAGGGUCAUACAUUUCUUAAUUAGUACUUAUCAUUUGUACCACGAUAAGUAAAAAGUAUACUUAAAAAUAUUUUAAUGGAUAUUGAAACGAUACAAGAAUUAAGAAAAUUAGAUUCCAUAUGAGAAUGAAAAAUACUUUUAAAAAUAGUUAUAUUUUUCGAAUGAUUAUUUUUAAUAUAAAUUAUUAUUUUAGUGGGUAACUUUUUUAGAAGAGUAAAAUAUAAAUGUAUCUUACUUUAAUAAGUGUAUUAUAAGUAAAUUGUAGUAUUGAUGCUAUUGAUAUUAAACUUAAUUUAUUGAUGAUUAUAUUCAUAAUUUAUUUCCAAAUAAAUUACACUGUCUCACAACUAAGAAAGUGGGCAAAGAAACUCAGAUUUAUUACUUUUUGAGCAAGUCUUUCUACUAUGGAGAGUGUGAGAAUAUAGAUCAUCUCUUCCAAGAAUGCAAUUUUGCAAGAGCGGUGUGGAUCGAUUCCUUCACAGGAAUCCAAACAUGUUGUCUAAACACUAACUCAAUUCACGAGUGAAUUUGUGCGAUCCUAAAGCAAUUGAGUUAAUGAAUGGCAAGCAAUUGAGAGACAUUCACAAGUUUUGUCAUUAUCUUAUGAAGCUUUGAGAUCUUGUUUAAAGGAGGCUCCUCAAACUCGAUCACAGUCAUUAAAUUUGCCACUGAGCUAGCUCAUCACACUAUCAUGGCAUACUCAAGCUGGAACACCCCAAAGGUAAGGAAAUAUAAGAAAUCUCUAGUCCUAGCAAACUCCGAACCAACCACAUACUACUACAUUUUCCUCAAACGGGAGAGGAGGAAUUCAGAGGUGAGUGGGGUUAUCAUUAUUAAAACCCAUGAUCUUAUAACAUAGAACAUUGAGGGUUGUUCGUGAAAGUUCGUCAAAAUUUCAAUUAGGAACACAAAAUUACGUGCAAACUUUGUCUCACAAUUAAGAAACUGUAUAUGUUAGAGUUGUAUAACUCAAAUUUUAAGAGAUUAUUUACAAGUCAAGUUAAACAAAGUAUAUCUUCUUUCUAGAAGAUUUAGUAUUUAUGAGUAUAAUAUAUUUAACAUUUAUUAACAUAAUAUAUUUGACUUUGAUUAGAAUUAAGUUUUUUCAACCUAUAAAUAGAUAUAGUUGAAACUACUUUUAAAAUCAUUCGAAUUCGACAUAGUGGUAAUAAAGUAAUAAUAAAAUUUUAUAGAAUAAAGUGAGUCCCCACUCUUUAUUGUAAAGGAGAAGAAUUAAUUAUCACAUGUCCACUAGUUAAGGAUUUGGAAAAAUAAUAAAUAGAAAUAGAAUUGAGAUCUCAACUAUAUUAAAUUUAUGAUUUGCUAUUGACCCUAGCUGACCCAGUCAUUAAAAACAAGACCCCAGUCAUUAAAAACAAUACCCUCCCCGAAUUCAUUGAAACCAAAGUAUUUGAGUAACGUCGAUACAUAUUAUUAAAUAACUAAUCAAUUUUAAAUUAAGAUUCUCGAAUAUUUGAAAGGAGUUAACAAAAUUAUUAAUAAUUUUUUUAUCAUAUCAUGCAUGAUCCUAUUUAAUAAUAUAAUUUCACGUGGAAGAAUUUUCCAUGCUACUUACCUUUCUCUUUUAAUUACUCAUUCCUAGUUUUUUUUUUUCAAUUCUUUAACUAAUAGUUGAAAGCAUCAUUUAUGAUUCUUCAAUAAUGUUUAUAUACAUUGAAACUAUUUCGAAUAUCAUUAUUGUAGUUUAAAUUAGAAUGUUUUAGAAUUAAUUCUUAAUUUGAUAUAAAGCAUCAAAAGAUACUAAACUAUUUUUCAUUAAUGUUCUUUAGCGUAUACCCACCUGACCAGUUUUUCGCUAAGGCUGGUCUUGAAAAUGGAAACCCAUACAUUAUAAAGUGACCCACUUUAUAUAUGCCGCUUCAAGUUCUAUUGAAGUAGCAUAUUUUGGAUAUGCGGAUGAAAGGAAACUGUUUUGGGAAGGAGGGGUAUUGUAAUGGCCCAAAUUCAAGGUUAUCGGAAUAGUAGUUUCGUAACCACAAAUCCGAUUUAAAGAAAAUUUUAUUUUAAUAUUUUUGCAUGAAUAUUGAUAUGAUAGGAAAAUCGUAUGAAAAUAUUGAUAGAAAAAUUUUACCGAUUUAGUAGUUAGUUAGAAAAAGAAAUUAUUGAAGAAAUUGUUGAAGAAAUUGGGUAAAAAUAAGGUAUCGAGACCUCAAUCUCGUAAAACCGAGUCAAAAUAUUUUUAUAAAUAUUUAUGAAGUGUUAUUAAUAUGGUAUUAAAAUUUCGUUAGAAAAUUUUAAUGUUUGGGUAGUCAAUUAAGUGAAAAGGACUAAAUUGAAAAAGGUGUAAAAGUUACUAGAAUGAUUAAAUAGCUCAAUUGUUAAAUGAAGAGGGACAUAAAUUGAAAAUAAGCCCAAAAGAAAAUAUUUUGGGCGGCAUACGCUGAGAAAAAUCAGGAGAAUUGAAGAAUUAAUGGUAAAAUUGGAAUAUUGCAAAAUUUACUUUAAAAGUUAGGACUAAAGUGGAAUUAUCUAGAUUCCUAUUUAUUUUUCUGCAUUCCCAUCAGCCAAAAACGUCCUAAGGGUUUAUUCAAGCUGGUUUUUCAUAAUUUUUGCACCAAGUGAGUUAAUCCUUGCAUUUUUCUUGUAAUUUUUGUGUUUCUAAGACUUUUACAACUAGGUCCUAUUACUAAAUUCAUUAGUUUUUGAUUUUAUGAACGAAUUUGAAAGUUUCUAUGAAUAUAUGCUGGAAGUUUAUGAUGAAAUAGGAUGAAAUUGAAACUUUAAUUUGUUUAUGAGAUUAUUUUAUUAGGUAAUUUCAAUAGAAAUUGAUUUGUAGGACUUAAUUGUAAAAAAGUUUGGAAUUAAAGUCUGGUGCUGAAAUUUUGAUUUCCAAAGCUUAUAAAGUAGUUUAAAGUGAUGGGAUAAAGUGUUAAUUGAGAAAAAUCAGCUCAAUUGAGAGGUCAAUUGAGCAAUGAUGAAAUUAUCAUUUAUUGAAAAGUUUAGGGAAAAAUGGUAAUUAACAUCAUACACUAAAACAGCUUUGGACAGCGGCAGUACUCUAACUUUGAAAAAUCACCAAAAAUUGUAGAGAUUGAAUUAGAGGAUGAAUAAAGUAUGAAAUUAAAUCUUAUUGAGUAUAAUUUCUUAUAAAAGAAAUGAUAUAAGCAAUGGAAUUGUAAAUCAUGAGAUAUAAUAGAUUUUGUGAGACAAUGUCAGAAUGAAUUCGGGUUCCCCUGUUCUGAAUUUUGAAAAUCAUUAAAAAUUGUAAAAAAAUUAUUAUGAGUUAUAAUUUAUAUGGUUAGAAUUCUAAAUGAGUCUAUUUUCAGAAAAAAUAAAUGGAAACAUCAUCUGAAUUCUGUACAAUGAGAUAAUUAAUUUUUAGUGAAGAAAAGUCGGAACUGUCAAACAGUGAAACAGGGGAACUUUAAAGAAUAAACUGUACUUAUUCGCUAAACCAAAAAUUCUGAAAUUUUUAUGGUAAGAAGAAAAUUGAGUCUAGUUUCAGUGAAAAUUAACGGAUCUUAAUUUGGAGUUCCGUAGCUCAAUAUAUAAAUAAUUUAGCGACUGUGACUCAAUGAGACAGCUUUGAAUGCACUAUAAAUAAUAAUGGAAUUAUAGAGAAUAUUACAUAUGAACAUGAAAAGUAUGAGAUUAAUGAUUAAAUUUAUUUAUUUAGAUCCAGAAAAUUUAAAUACAAAGCUAGAUCGAGGAAAAGAAAAAGUUCGGGAUUAUUAGAUUUUUGGUUACGAACAAGUGUCGAGGUAAGUUCGUGUAACUUGAAUUAUAUUCUUAAAUGCUUGAAAUGUUUGUCGAAACCGUUUUUUUGAAAACAAAAAUUUAGUUGUUGACUUUAAAAACAAAAACUGGAGUCGCCACCGAUCUUUUAUUAAGGUGUGAUCGGCUUACCUUAAAAAUUAUUUUGGUCUACGUUUUUUUGAGAAAACGAGUUCGGGAGUCAGUUACGCACGAGGAAGGAUUAGCACCCUCGUAACGCCCAAAAAUCAGUACCAAUUUGACUAUUUGAUGUCUUAGUGUCGAAAGUUAAAAAGAUUUUAGGAUAAGCUUGAAUGAUGAAAUUUGCAAAAGGAUAACCAAUUGUUCAAGUCAUGUAAAGAAAUCGAGUCCCAAUACGUUAGGGUACAAUCCCUCAUAAUCCCCGAACUUUGAAUAUCACUUUUAUUUUAUGCGAAAAUCUUCAUUUUGAGAAAGUAACAGGUCACACCCAAUACGUUAGGGCACGACAAGUUAAGUUCCUAAAAAUGAUUUUUAUGCUCAUGCAUUUUGAAUAAAGAAUAUCAUCGGUUAUUUAAGAUCAUCAAAGAAAAUCAGAACCCAAUACGUUAGGGCUCAAUUUCCCUCGAAAAUCCCAAACUCCGAAUAUUGCUUUUAUUCAAAAAAAAAAGGUUUUGAAUCAAGAAAAUAACUUUGAUGUAUAGUUAAAGCCAAAAUAUAUUUUCAAAAGGGUAUGUUAAAAAGUUAAUGUACAAUAUGAUACAAAUAUUUUAAUUUACAACAUAUACGAAUAAAUAUUUACAAAUACAUAUAUACAAAUACAAUAUAACAGUAAAGUCGCAAACAUAUGUACACAUAUAUCUAAAACACAUAUACAAGUAUACAUGCAAAUAGAAGGAAUGAAAUAUAUCCAAUAAAGCAAACAAAAAAUGUAUUAAAAAUAAAAUAAAAGUAUAAAAAAACGCAUAUGCAUAUAUUUACAGAAAGAAAAAAAAAAGGUAUACGUAUAUGUAUAUAUUUAAAUAUUUAUAUAUGUACAAUAUGUAUUCAAGUAAUGGAAUAUAUAUAGAAUAAUGAAAAAUGUUUUAGAAAAAAAAUGUAAAUAUAUAUGCUGUAAAAAUAAAUGUAUAUUUUUAAAUUAUAAUAUAUAGGAAAUAUAUGUAUAUUCAAAAAUGUACAUGUAUAUUUCUAUAUAUAUUUGUAAAAAAAAGUGAAGAAUAAUAUAUGAAAAUAAAAAUAUAUGGUAAUAUACAUAAAUACUAUUUGCAAAAGUAAAAAAAAAUAUAAGAGCAUACGUAUAUCAAAAUUUGCUUGUAUGCAUAAAAAAAGUUUAAAAUAUUCAUAUACUAUAAAAACAUAUAUAUAUUAAAGAAGCAUGCAUGUGUAUACUAUAAGAAUACGUGUAUAAAUAAUGAUAAUAAUAACAAUUUAAAAAAACAAAUUGAAAAGAGAAAAGAAAAAAAUGUAAUUAAAAUAAAAUGAAGGACUAAAUGGCGAUGCGCGCAUUCCCUGAGGGGGCUAAAAUGAAAAUAACCCGUCUCCCUGAAACGGUGCGCAACAAUGGGCCAUAUUGAAACAAAAAAUAAAACACAGAGUUAAAAUUAUAAAUAUGAAAAGGACUGCAUUAAAAACGACUAGAGAGCAGAGGGACCAAGGAGAUAAAUAUCCCCCCUAGCGAAAACACGCGGGUUACCAAGCGGGUCGGGUCACACAUGCGGGUUUUGGCCCUAUACGACGUCGUUUUGAGGCCAUUGAAGCAGGCCCUAAACGACGUCGUUUCAUAACCCUUAUAAAUGCCAAAUUUUCCUUAAAAAAUUUCAUUUUCCUCUUUGAUUCAAAAAAAAAAUAACAGAGAAGCUCUUCUAGGGUUCCUCCUUUAUGCCGCCGCCGCCAAUCGAGGCAUGCCACGGUCGCCCCGGUCUCCGAUCGCGACGGAGAGGGGCGCCAACUUAGCGAUUCCGACGAAAAUAGGUAUGUUCGUCCCUUUUCUUUAUAUUUUAAACAAAAAUAAAUAAAAAGAAAAAGAAACUCUAUAGAAAAAAAAGAUAUAUGUAUAUAUGAAACAAGAUAAAAGAAUGAUAAUCUCAAUGAGGUGAAAACCAGAGAGAAAGAAAACCUUUGUCUUUCAAAAAGAAAAAACUAUUUGCCUUUGAAUUUCUUUUGGUAUUUCCUCCCCCUCCCCGUUUUACAGAUUACAAAUGGCUUUUUAAAUAACCGAAAAUGGGAAAGAAAAAAUGAAAACCAAAAAAUCUAUUCGGUUGGCUCGAUUUUUGCUCCUCUCCUUCGCUUGUUGUAGGUACGUGCGUGCGCGAGAUUCACGGCGGCGAGGGGCGUGAUGCGCGGGGGAGUUGGCUCCGAAACAUGCGUCGAUUGGAGUUGUCGGAGGUGGAGCACGUCGUGGGGGCUUGCUGUAAUAGCCUGAAUUUUUAGUGGUGUCGGAAUGGUGAUUCGAGAUCACUAAAUCUGACAAACGAGUAGAAAAUAUUAUAAAUUUAGUAAGUAUAAGUUAAAUGUGAAGUUAGGAAAAUUUUUGAAAUAGUGAAUAGUGUACUAGGAAUAAAUAUUAAAAUAAUUAAAAUAAAAAAAAUGAGGUAUCGAGACCUCGAAGAUUUUAAACCGAGCCAUAAAUAUUUUUAGAAAUAUUUAUAGAGUGUCAUUGAGUUGGUAUUAAAGUUUCGUUAGAAAAUUUUAACGUUUGGAUAGUUAAUUAACUAAAAAGGACUAAAUUGGGAAUAGUGUAAAAUUUGUUAAAUUGUGAUUAAAUAGCUUAAGUGACUAAAGUGGAGGGAUUUAAAAGGCUAUUAGGCCCAAAUUAUAUGGGCUGGACGGUUGGGUAAGAAAAAUCAGCAGAAUGUAAGGAGAAACAGGGGCAAAAUUGGAAACUUAACAAAUUAAACAUUUAAAACAAAGACAAAAGUGAAAAAUCUAGAGAUCUCUUCACAAUUUAUCAGCAAAAACGAAAUAGGAGGUCUGGAAUAAGCUGGUUUUUCAUAUUUUUGAAUCAUGUAAGUUUAAUUCUUGAUUAUUUCUUCUAAUUUUUGUGAUUUUGAUACUUUUACAAUUAGGUCCAACUAAUUAUUUCAUUAGUUUUUAAUUCCAUGGCUGAUUUUGAAAGUUACCAUUGAUGAGUGUUGGAUUUUUAUGAUGAAUAAACAUGGAAUUGAAGCUUUAAUUUUGUUAUAUGAUGAUUUUAUUAAGUAAUUUUGAUAGAAAUUGAUUUUAGGGACCUAAUUGUGAAAAAGUUGGGAAUUAAGGUUUGGUGUUGCGGUUUUGAGUAUGAAAGGCUAUGUAGUAGUCUAAAAUAGUUGGAAAAGGUGUUAAUUGAGAAAAAUUAGAUCAAUUGAGGGGUUAAUUGAGUAGGGAUCAAAUUGUAAAAACUGUAAAGUUUGGGGUAAAAGUGUAACUUCGAAAAUUAAAGGGCAUAAAUUGUGAAAUGAAUUAGAAUUGAAUUAAAUGCUGAUGAAUGAAUAAAUUUGCAUUUUAGAUCGAGAACCCGAAACAAGUCGAGGAAAAGAAAAAGUAGCCGAUUAGUCCCUGAACUUUUAUAAAUUCUGCAAAUCGAUCCAGGUAAGUUCAUAUGGCUGAAAUUUAAUGAUUAAAUGUUAAUUUCAUGAAUUAUACAAUGUAUGGUGAAAUGUAUUUAUUGUUGAAAUGAGAAUAAAAUAAAAAUGUGAAAAUCGAAUAAAUGAUCAAAUUAAGUGGAACGUCGAAUUGGAGUACUUCUGAUCAAGUGACAAAGUGAUAAGUGGUAGUUUUAGCUACACUUAUCUGAUUAAGAAACAAAGUGAUAAGUGGUUACACUUAUCUGAUCAAGAAACAAAGUGAUAAGUGGUUACACUUAUCUGAUCAAGAAACAAAGUGAUAAGUGGCUACACUUAUCUGAUCAAGUGGUAAAGUGAUAAGUGGUAGCCUAGCUACACUUAUCUGAUCAAGGACAAGUGAUAAGAGGUCAUAUGGCAAAGUGAAAGUGAAGUACUCAAAUUUCCAUAACCGUUCCUUAAUUUUGAUCAAGAAUGGUAAGUGACAAAUGGGCCCAAAGGAAUUAUGGUAAAAGAAUAAGUAGUAGUGAGUUUAUACCAAGGAACUCACCAAAGAUUGUGGUUGACAGGUAAAUUUAGUAAUGGUGUAUAUUGUAUAAGUGUGCAAGUGUUUGGUAAGAUUUAUGUUUUAUGCCUAUGAACUUACUAAGCUUUUCUAUAAGCUUACAUAUGUGUGUUUAUUGUUUUUGUAGAUUAACGUAUUUAUACAUUCGGAGGAUCGGAUCUACAUCAAGAAUCACACUAUCCAGAUAUACUCCGGUAGUUUAUGUUAAGCAACUUUUUUGAUUUAUAUGGCGUGUAUAGGGAAUUGAAGUAAAAGUAAAUUUGAAUGUUAUGGUUGCGUUAGAUAUCGAAAUAUAUACAUGUUUUUAGUUUGAAAUGGUUGAUUGGUUGAACUUAAUUAGUAUUUAAAUGAAGUAAAUGAAAUACUGGAAUUGGUUGUGAUUUGAAAUUCGCAGGGAAGGUUAGACAAUUAUAAAUGAGUUAUAUUGAAUUUUUUUUAAAAAAAUUGCAAUGGAGCAGUUCUUGGACAGCAGCAUUGAUGUAACUUUUAAAAAUCACCAAAAAUAGUGGAAAUAGAAUUAGAAGUUGAGUGAGAUAUGAAAUUAAAGCUGAAAGAGUCUAUUUUCAUAUAAAAGAAGUUGAGUAAGCAAAAGAAUUAUAUACUUUUAGAUAUUUGAAUUUUAGUGAAACAGGGCAAGAAUGUUUUUGAAGUCCCCUGUUCUGACUUUAGAAAUUCAUUAAAAAUUGUACAGAAGGAAUUAUGAGUUAUAAUUUAUAUGUAUAGAUUCCUUAAUGAGUCUAUUUUCAGUAUAAAUAAGUUUAAUCACCAUAUGAAGCCUUUAAUAAGAGAUAAUUAAAUUUUAGUGAUGAGUGGUUAGGAUAGUCGAUUAGUGAAACAGGGGAGACUUCAACUAAUAAACUAUACUAAUUGGCUAAAUAAAAAAUUCUGAAAAAUUUAUGGUGAAUAGAUAUAUGAGUCUAGUUUUAUGGAAAAUUUACGGAUCUAAAUUUUGAGUUUCGUAGCUUGAAUUAUAAUUAUUUUAGUGACUGCUGUACAGGUGGACUGCUUUAUUAUGAAUGAUGAAAUUAAAUUUGAAAGUAAAUUUUUAUGCCCCGAACUUUUAAGUUAAGUCAAGUAACGCCUCAUGCUCGACUCCGGCAACGGUAUUGGGUAAGGGGUGUUACAUUUUAGUGGUAUCAGAGCCCGGUUUAGCCGGUCCUCGGAAUAUGUGUGAAGUGUAAAGUGUUUAGAAAUACAUGCCAUAUAAAUCUGUGAUAGUGUGAUGUGUAUGAUCCGAUCUAAUCUUUGUUAUUUUUAUAGAUACUCUCCGAUUAUAAAGAUGUCAAAUUUACCUGAACGUACUGAUCAAGAAGAAGUUAACAGUAGAGCACAGAAUUCUGAACAAAGAGCAAGCAGUGAUGUUUCGAUUUCCCAAAUGCGAGAGCAUGAAUUAAAGAAUAUGAUUUAUGGGAUUAUGAAUCAGUGGUAUACUGAAAUGAGGCAAGAAAGAAAUCAAGCUGAACCACCUCCUCCCCCUAUUGCUCCAUCGAUGGUACCCCCGGUUGCUCUUCCACCUCCUACAACGACUGAAUCUAGUAAGCGUUCUCCAUUGGAAAGGCUUAGAAAACUUGGAGCCGAAGAAUUUCGGGGAAGGACUGAUGAUGAUCCCGUCAAAGCUGAAUAUUGGUUACAGAGUUUGAUAAGAAAUUUUAAAGAAAUGGCUUGCUCACCAGAUGACUAUUUGAGAUGUGCUGUGUCUCUGUUGAAAGAAGAAGCUUAUAGUUGGUGGGAGACGAUCGAGGCUGUGGUUCCGGCAGAGAAAAUUUCUUGGGAAUUUUUCCAAAAUGAAUUUAAGAAGAAAUAUGUGGGCAGACGGUAUUUGGAUAAAAAGAAAAGGGAAUUUCUCGACCUACGACAGGGAAAUAAAUCAGUAGCUGAAUAUGAAAGAGAAUUUGUCUACCUCAGCAAAUAUGCCCGAGACAUUGUACCUACUGAAGAAGAAAUGUGUAUCCGGUUUGAAGAAGGGUUAAAUGAUGAAAUUAGAAUGAUGAUUGGGGGUAAUGAAAUACGAGAGUUCGUUGUUCUGUCAGACCGUGCUCAAAAGCUUGAAGAAGUAUACAACAGAAAAAUGCAGCGGGAUCGAAAAAGUAAAGAGCCAUUCAAAAGAGGUGCUUCUAAGUCAUUUUCAGAUUUUCCGGUGAAGAAAUCUAGAGAAGAAAUUAAUCGAACUACAUCAGUGUCGGGGAGAUCGGGCAGAGAUAGACCAAGACAAUCUGAUUUCAGGGUAUUCGAUAGACCUGUAGCAAGUGUGAGCAGUGUUCAGAAUGCUUCACGACCUAAGUGUCAAUAUUGUGGAAGAUAUCAUUUCGGAGAAUGCAGGACUAAGAUGGGGGCUUGUUAUAAAUGUGGGGCUACUGAUCAUCUUAUUCGAGAUUGUCCCCGGCUGCAAAAAGAUGAAGUGGAACAGAAAGAGAUACAGAGAACCAUUCCUCAAAGAAGUAGACGUUCGGGCCAGAGCAGUGCUACAGGGACUACCCGUUCGGGUACGAGGGAAUCAGUUGGUCGAUCAGAGAAUAGAGCACCAGCACGUACCUACGCCAUUCGAGCAAGGGAAGAAGCUACGGCUCCUGAUGUAAUUGCUGGUACUUUCUAUCUUUAUGAUGUUAUUGUUUAUGCAUUGAUAGACCCUGGAUCUACUCAUUCAUAUAUUUGCACUAUGUUAGCAUCUGAAAUGAAUUUAUUUGUUGAGUCCACUGAAUUUGAUAUACAAGUUACAAAUUCAUUAGGUCAUAGUGUGAUGGUUAAUUUAAUAUGUCGUAAUUGUCCACUGAAAGUGAAAGGCUAUGAAUUCCCCGCUGAUUUGAUGUUGUUACCCUUUCGGGAAUUUGACAUUAUUCUGGGGAUGGACUGGUUAAUGAGGCACGAUGCGGUGGUGAAUUGUCGUGAUAAGCAAAUCAGUUUGAAAUGUCAAACAGGAGAUGUAAUCUCAGUUGGGUCAGAAAAUAUGGGCGAUACAGUCAGAAUUAUUUCAGCUCUCUCUGCUCAGAGAUUAUUACGCAAAGGCAAUGAAGCAUUCUUGGCCUAUAUCCUUGAUACUCGGGGUUCUGAUUUAAAGCUCGAACAAGUGCCAGUGGUGAAUGAAUUUCCUGAUGUGUUCCCUGAAGAGUUACCCGGUCUACCACCUGAUAGAGAAGUUGAAUUUGUAAUUGAUGUGAUCCCCGGAACAACUCCUAUAUCAAUGACACCGUACAGAAUGGCUCCAGCGGAAUUAAAAGAGUUGAAGGCGCAGUUGCAGGAGUUAUUAGAUAAAGGGUUCAUCAGACCGAGUAUGUCGCCCUGGGGUGCACCUGUCUUGUUUGUGAAAAAGAAGGACGGUUCUUUAAGACUGUGUAUAGAUUACAGGCAGUUGAAUAAGGUAACGGUAAAGAAUAAAUAUCCUUUGCCUCGUAUUGAUGAUCUGUUUGAUCAGUUGAAAGGUGCUGCAGUAUUUUCCAAGAUAGACCUUCGAUCUGGGUAUUAUCAGUUGAAAGUUAAAGAGUGUGAUGUGCCAAAAACUACCUUCCGAACUCGAUAUGGUCAUUAUGAAUUUUUGGUGGUGCCAUUUGGUUUAACCAAUGCUCCUGCUACUUUUAUGGAUUUGAUGAAUAGAAUUUUUCAGUCAUAUUUGGAUAGAUUUGUGGUUGUGUUCAUUGACGAUGUAUUGAUUUAUUCAAAGACAGAGUCCGAACAUGCACAACAUCUAAGGAUUGUAUUACAGACUUUGCGGGAGAAACAGUUAUAUGCGAAAUUCAGCAAAUGUGAAUUUUGGCUUCAGGAAGUUGCGUUUUUGGGUCAUAUAGUAUCAGCUGAUGGAAUAAGAGUGGAUCCAAGUAAGAUAGCGGCAGUGGUAAAUUGGAAAGUUCCAAAGAAUGUUACUGAAGUACGGAGCUUUCUAGGAUUGGCAGGUUAUUAUCGCCGAUUUGUCAAAGAUUUCUCAAUGAUUACCUUACCGUUGACUCGAUUACUACAAAAGAAUGUUGAAUUUAUAUGGUCAGACGAAUGUCAUCAGAGUUUCGAUCAGUUGAAAAAGAUGUUGACAGAGGCUCCAGUGUUGACUCAACCAGAAUCGGGCGUACCGUUUGUAGUAUAUGGUGAUGCGUCUCUGAGUGGUUUGGGUUGUGUACUUAUGCAGUCAGGAAAAGUGGUGGCAUAUGCUUCCCGACAACUGAAACCGCACGAGAAGAAUUAUCCUACACAUGAUUUGGAAUUGGCAGCGAUCGUGUUUGCUUUGAAAAUAUGGAGACACUACUUAUAUGGUGAGAAAUGUUACGUGUAUACUGAUCAUAAAAGCUUGAAGUAUUUAAUGACUCAGAAAGAGUUAAAUUUGAGACAGAGACGAUGGUUAGAGUUGCUGAAAGAUUAUGAUCUUGUCAUUGACUAUCACCCAGGGAAAGCAAAUGUCGUAGCAGAUGCACUUAGUCGGAAAUCAUCAUUAUUUGCAUUACGGACAUUGAGUGCUCAUUUAUCUAUUAAUGAGGAUGGUUCUAUACUAGCGGAAAGCUAAACCUGUGUUCUUUCAACGGAUUCGGGAAUUACAAGAUGAAGACCCAAAAUUGAUGCUAAAACGACAGAUGGUUCAAAAUGAGUUAAGCUCAGAAUACUCCAUUGAUGAAAAUGGUAUGUUAUAUUAUCGUAAUAGAAUAUGUGUUCCAAAUAAUUUAGACUUGAAAAAUGAUAUUUUAUCAGAGGCUCACAGUAGUAUGUGUUCUAUUCACCCGGGGAGUACAAAAAUGUAUUGUGAUUUGAAGAAAAUGUAUUGGUGGCCUGGAAUGAAACGAGAAAUCUGUGAAUAUGUAGUAAGAUGUUUGAUUUGUCAACAGGUGAAAGCUGAGUAUCAAGUGCCGACAGGGUUGUUACAGCCCAUUAAGAUUCCAGAGUGGAAAUGGGAACAUGUCACGAUGGAUUUUGUAUCUGGAUUACCAGUAACUCCGAAGAAGAAAGAUUCGAUAUGGGUGAUUGUUGAUCGGUUAACUAAGUCGGCACAUUUUAUUCCAGUCAGAACAGAUUAUCAGCUUGAAAAGUUAGCAGAGUUAUAUGUGUCUGAGAUAGUGAGGUUACAUGGGGUACCGAUAUCUAUUAUUUCGGAUCGAGAUCCGAGAUUUACCUCGAGAUUUUGGAGUAAAUUACAGGAGGCUCUGGGCACCAAAUUAAAUUUCAGCACAGCUUUUCAUCCCCAGACAGAUGGGCAGUCAGAGCGAGUGAUUCAGAUUUUAGAAGAUAUGUUAAGGUGUUGUAUACUUGAGUUCGGCGGCAGCUGGGAAAGGUAUUUACCUUUAGCCGAAUUUGCUUAUAAUAAUAGUUAUCAAACUAGUAUUAAAAUGGCACCGUUUGAAGCUCUGUAUGGAAGAAAGUGUAGAACUCCAUUAUAUUGGACUGAAUUAAGUGAAUCGAAACUGGUGGGAGUGGACUUGAUUCGGGAAACUGAAGAAAAAGUUCGUAUUAUUUGAGAUUGUUUAAAAGCUGCCUCCGAUCGGCAAAAAUCAUAUGCAGAUUUGAAGAGAAGGGAUAUAGAGUUUAGUGUGGGUGAUCGUGUAUUUUUGAAAGUGUCACCGUGGAAGAAAGUUUUGCGGUUCGGCAGAAAGGGAAAACUCAGCCCACGAUUUAUCGGGCCGUAUGAAAUCAUUGAAAGAAUCGGUCCGGUAGCUUAUAGAUUGGCUUUGCCCCGGGAACUUGAAAAUAUUCAUAAUGUGUUUCAUGUGUCUAUGUUGAGACGGUAUAGAUCAGAUCCAUCACAUGUAAUUCCUCAUACGGAAAUAGAGCUCCAACCUGACAUGACUUAUUCAGAGGAACCGGUGAAAAUUUUAGCUCGGGAAGUUAAAGAGUUGAGGAAUAAACGUGUACCACUAGUUAAGGUGCUAUGGAAUCGACAUGGAUCUGAGGAGGCAACCUGGGAAACGGAGGAAUUGAUGAGAUUUCAGUAUCCGAAUUUAUUUCCAGGUACGAAAUUUCGGGGACGAAAUUUCCUAAAAGGGGGGGAGAGUUGUAAUAGCCUGAAUUUUUAGUGGUGUCGGAAUGGUGAUUCGAGAUCACUAAAUCUGACAAACGAGUAGAAAAUAUUAUAAAUUUAGUAAGUAUAAGUUAAAUGUGAAGUUAGGAAAAUUUUUUAAAUAGUGAAUAGUGUACUAGGAAUAAAUAUUAAAAUAAUUAAAAUAAUUAAAAUAAAAAAAACGAGGUAUCGAGACCUCGAAGAUUUUAAACCGAGCCAUAAAUAUUUUUAGAAAUAUUUAUAGAGUGUCAUUGAGUUGGUAUUAAAGUUUCGUUAGAAAAUUUUAACGUUUGGAUAGUUAAUUAACUAAAAAGGACUAAAUUGGGAAUAGUGUAAAAUUUGUUAAAUUGUGAUUAAAUAGCUUAAGUGACUAAAGUGGAGGGAUUUAAAAGGCUAUUAGGCCCAAAUUAUAUGGGCUGGACGGUUGGGUAAGAAAAAUCAGCAGAAUGUAAGGAGAAACAGGGGCAAAAUUGGAAACUUAACAAAUUAAACAUUUAAAACAAAGACAAAAGUGAAAAAUCUAGAGAUCUCUUCACAAUUUAUCAGCAAAAACGCCAUAGGAGGUCUGGAAUAAGCUGGUUUUUCAUAUUUUUGAAUCAUGUAAGUUUAAUUCUUGAUUAUUUCUUCUAAUUUUUGUGAUUUUGAUACUUUUACAAUUAGGUCCAACUAAUUAUUUCAUUAGUUUUUGAUUCCAUGGCUGAUUUUGAAAGUUACCAUUGAUGAGUGUUGGAUUUUUAUGAUGAAUAAACAUGGAAUUGAAGCUUUAAUUUUGUUAUAUGAUGAUUUUAUUAAGUAAUUUUGAUAGAAAUUGAUUUUAGGGACCUAAUUGUGAAAAAGUUGGGAAUUAAGGUUUGGUGUUGCGGUUUUGAGUAUGAAAGGCUAUGUAGUAGUCUAAAAUAGUUGGAAAAGGUGUUAAUUGAGAAAAAUUAGAUCAAUUGAGGGGUUAAUUGAGUAGGGAUCAAAUUGUAAAAACUGUAAAGUUUGGGGUAAAAGUGUAACUUCGAAAAUUAAAGGGCAUAAAUUGUGAAAUGAAUUAGAAUUGAAUUAAAUGCUGAUGAAUGAAUAAAUUUGCAUUUUAGAUCGAGAACCCGAAAUAAGUCGAGGAAAAGAAAAAGUAGCCGAUUAGUCCCUGAACUUUUACAAAUUCUGCAAAUCGAUCCAGGUAAGUUCAUAUGGCUGAAAUUUAAUGAUUAAAUGUUAAUUUCAUGAAUUAUACAAUGUAUGGUGAAAUGUAUUUAUUGUUGAAAUGAGAAUAAAAUAAAAAUGUGAAAAUCGAAUAAAUGAUCAAAUUAAGUGGAACGUCGAAUUGGAGUACUUCUGAUCAAGUGACAAAGUGAUAAGUGGUAGUUUUAGCUACACUUAUCUGAUCAAGAAACAAAGUGAUAAGUGGUUACACUUAUCUGAUCAAGAAACAAAGUGAUAAGUGGUUACACUUAUCUGAUCAAGAAACAAAGUGAUAAGUGGCUACACUUAUCUGAUCAAGUGGUAAAGUGAUAAGUGGUAGCCUAGCUACACUUAUCUGAUCAAGGACAAGUGAUAAGAGGUCAUAUGGCAAAGUGAAAGUGAAGUACUCAAAUUUCCAUAACCGUUCCUUAAUUUUGAUCAAGAAUGGUAAGUGACAAAUGGGCCCAAAGGAAUUAUGGUAAAAGAAUAAGUAGUAGUGAGUUUAUACCAAGGAACUCACCAAAGAUUGUGGUUGACAGGUAAAUUUAGUAAUGGUGUAUAUUGUAUAAGUGUGCAAGUGUUUGGUAAGAUUUAUGUUUUAUGCCUAUGAACUUACUAAGCUUUUCUAUAAGCUUACAUGUGUGUGUUUAUUGUUUUUGUAGAUUAACGUAUUUAUACAUUCGGAGGAUCGGAUCUACAUCAAGAAUCACACUAUCCAGAUAUACUCCGGUAGUUUAUGUUAAGCAACUUUUUUGAUUUAUAUGGCAUGUAUAGGGAAUUGAAGUAAAAGUAAAUUUGAAUGUUAUGGUUGCGUUAGAUAUCGAAAUAUAUACAUGUUUUUAGUUUGAAAUGGUUGAUUGGUUGAACUUAAUUAGUAUUUAAAUGAAGUAAAUGAAAUACUGGAAUUGGUUGUGAUUUGAAAUUCGCAGGGAAGGUUAGACAAUUAUAAAUGAGUUAUAUUGAAUUUUUUUUAAAAAAAUUGCAAUGGAGCAGUUCUUGGACAGCAGCAUUGAUGUAACUUUUAAAAAUCACCAAAAAUAGUGGAAAUAGAAUUAGAAGUUGAUGAGAUAUGAAAUUAAAGCUGAAAGAGUCUACUUUCAUAUAAAAGAAGUUGAGUAAGCAAAAGAAUUAUAUACUUUUAGAUAUUUGAAUUUUAGUGAAACAGGGCAAGAAUGUUUUUGAAGUCCCCUGUUCUGACUUUAGAAAUUCAUUAAAAAUUGUACAGAAGGAAUUAUGAGUUAUAAUUUAUAUGUAUAGAUUCCUUAAUGAGUCUAUUUUCAGUAGAAAUAAGUUUAAUCACCAUAUGAAGCCUUUAAUAAGAGAUAAUUAAAUUUUAGUGAUGAGUGGUUAGGAUAGUCGAUUAGUGAAACAGGGGAGACUUCAACUAAUAAACUGUACUAAUUGGCUAAAGCAAAAAUUCUGAAAAAUUUAUGGUGAAUAGAUAUAUGAGUCUAGUUUUAUGGAAAAUUUACGGAUCUAAAUUUCGAGUUUCGUAGAUUGAAUUAUAAUUAUUUUAGUGACUGCUGUACAGGUGGACUGCUUUAUUAUGAAUGAUGAAAUUAAAUUUGAAAGUAAAUUUUUAUGCCCCGAACUUUUAAGUUAAGUCAAGUAACGCCUCAUGCUCGACUCCGGCAACGGUAUUGGGUAAGGGGUGUUACACUUGCGGUGCUGAACUGAACUUGGGGCUAGGGUUUGGGAAGUUUAGGAUGCUAGGUGGGCUAGGUUUUGGACUAUUGGGCCUGAACGGCCCAUUUUUUGUCUUGUAAAUAGUAUGGGCCAAUUGGGCCUUAUUACAAUGUUUAUUAUUGAUGUGAAUAUGAUUGAAUGUUCAUUAUAUGAAAAUUGAUGAAACAUUGAUAUAUUUGAUAAAAAGGGGAAGAAAUCCCGGUUGAAUGGAAGGAAAAUUCGAUGGACUCUGAAAAGGAAUUGAAGGUAAAAAUGAUCUAGCUCGGACGGGUGAUCCUAUCCUGAUAUAGCCCUCCCGAAGAAUAUGUGGAAAAUGGAUUUAGCCCGGACGGGUAAUCUAAAUUAGGGUCUGAAUUUAGCCUGGACUGGUAAUUCAGAUCCAAGCUCAUUAGAGUAAUUGUCGUUGCAGGGGAUUUAGCCUGGACUGGUAAUCCCGGCAAUACUUUAUAAGUUUAUAUUACAGGGGAUUUAGCCUGGACUGGUAAUCCCGCUGUAAGGAUGAGGUUCGCGGGAGUGUGCUCUCUGAAAUGGAAAUGUGCGCACAUGAUAUGAAUUGACGAACCCGAAUUUGUACACUAAAGUGUACCUCUGAAAAUCUAUCGAAAUUUCGAGAAAUUCAACGGGAUAAAUAUGAAAAAAAAAUAACAAGGAAAUGGAAAUCAUGGAAUUGAUGAGCUCAUCAAUCAUGGUAUAUAUAUUAUUGAUACAUGAAAAUUAUUGGACUAAUUUGAAUGUUGAGUUUGUGCAUGAUAGGGGAAUAUCGUAUUGUAUGGAUGUAUGAAUGUUUAUUGCAUUGUAUUGAAAAUAUUAGGUAAGUAUAAUUCUUGUUACAUGAGCUUACUAAGUACAAAGCGAUUAUCCUGUUUUCUUUUCCUCUGUUUUGUAGUGUUAAGAGCUCAGAGGUCGGAUUUGGUCGGAGACGCAUCACACUAUCAACCUCAAGAUCUCGGUAUAUAAAGAAACUUUAUUUUGGAAAUCAAUGGCAUGUAUAAGCUAGUAAAGUAUAUGUUAAUGUGAAAUGAAUGUAUAGUUAGCCAUUGGUAUGGCUAACAAAUUUUGGUUUUGGUAUGUGAUGAUAUUAUCUUAUGAGUACGAUAAAUCUAUCUUGAAAAUAUAUUGAUUUUAAAAAAAAUUCAGUAAAAUCUGGUAAUACCUCGUAUCCUAUUCCGGCGACGGAUACGAGUAGGGAGUAUUACAAGUAUUCUUAUUUAAUGUAGUGGAGAUAAAAUACGCUGAGGAUGCUAAUAUGUUGUUAGGUGUUAGUCCAAGGAGAGGAUUUUUUUUAAUUAAAUCAACUAUAUUAUAAAAUCUUGUAGAAGUAAGAAAUUAUAAGAAAAUAUAUAAAGGAAUAUUUAUAGAAUUAAAACCUAUUUUAUAGAAUAUAACUAAAAAUAUAAAAUUAAUAUAAAAGUAUUUUAGUAAAUAUAUCGAGUUGGGCAAAUUUCACCUAAGCCUAAUCUUGCCCUGACCACAAAAAUCUUGUGUUUUAAAGCCUACCUCGAAUUUUUUUUAAAGCCUUUUAACAAGUCAGGACAGAUCAAAAUUUGUUGGAUUCAAUUUUUAAUAGAUUAAAUAAUUAAUAAUUUUGUUUAUUGUUUUUAAUAUUUAAGAUAAAAGGAGAUUAGGGUAAACUACAUAAUUGGUGAUUUAACUUUCAUAAAUUUUUAUUUUGGGCAUCAAAAUAAAAAAAAUUGCAAAAGAGGACUGUUGUUAACAACUUUCAUUUUGGUUACCCGCCAUUAGACCUGUCCAUGGGCCAGGCGGCUCGGCCCGGUCUGACGGCCCGCCGGAAAUAUGGGAGGGUUCGGGUAAAAAUAUAGGCCUGAAAUAUGGGCUUGGGCAAAAAAAAGAGGCCCGUUUAAAAAACGGGUCGGGCCUCGGGCACAACUUUUUGGCCCAAGCCCGGCCCGGCCCGAAUAUAAUAAAUAUAUUUUUUAAUUUUAAAAGACUUUUAAAAUAUUUUUAUUUUAUUUUUUUAUUUUUAAAAUAAUUUUUUAAUGUUUAUUAAAAAAAUGGGCCGGGCCGGGUUCGGGCUUAUAAUAUUUUUCCCGGGCCGGGCAUGGGCAAAAUUUUAGGCCCAUAUUUCGGGCAGGGCCAGGGCCUAGGAGGCGGGCCAAAAAAUUUUUCUGGGCCCGGCCCAAACUCGGCCCAUUGACAGGUCUACUCGCCAUUAAUUUAGGAUUAAAAAAUAUUAUUAUACACUCAUUUUAGUCACUUAAUUGUGGUAGUUUUCAUUUUAGUUAAUUGUUUCAUUUUUUUAGAAUUAACUCUAAUAAAGGGGAAAUAAAAUAAAUUAAAAAGAUAAAUUUGCUUUUCCUUUAAAAACUUAACUCCAAUAUUUUGCUUACUGAAAAAAAAAACUAAAGUAAUGUUUUUUUUUUUAAAAGUAAAAUAUUAUCUCUCUAAAAAAAUCCAGAUUUACCCUUUACUGAAAUAAACCAAAAUUAAUUAUAAAAAGGAAAAAGAUAAGAUAAAAUAGGUUAUUAAAAUGAAAAAUUAGUAAAAUUAAUUGACUAAAAAUAAGUGUAAAAUAAUAUUACCUAAUCUUAAAUUAACGAUACAUGAUCAAAAUAAAAAUAACUAUUAACGAGAGUACCCUUAUUACAAAUUUUUUAUUUUCCAUGUACAAACUAAAAGCUUACAAUUUUUCAUGAACAACAAUAUGGUUUACCUUUACCAAAUAAUUUUAGAAAGUGCUAACAGCUCUAAUAUGUCACCUUUUGGCAUUUGAAGAAUUAAGAGGACAUGGUAUCCAACUGUCCCUGGAACCAGCAGAGGAUAAGCUUUAUUUUAUCCAAUUGAAGACCACCAGUGCUCAACUUCAGCUUGAGAUAUCAUAUAUAUUUUCUGGAGAAAAGUAACAUUCUAACAUUUCUUUUCUCUAAUUUUUAUGAAUUUCAUCUUUAAAUUUGUUAUCCACAGUUUUUAAAUUUAAAUUUUCUUAAAUAAUUUAUUUUUUAAGACCAUUAAUAUAAGGGCAUUGUUAUUUUGAAAAAUAUAUAAAUUUUUUAAAAAAAUAUUAGAAACUCUAUAACAUACGUGUAUAUGUGAAAACUACACAUUUAAAACAUAAAUGUGUGUUUGAAAAUAAUAUACAAUAAAUAAUAAAACGUAUGGUUUGAAAUAAAUUUAAUAAUAACACAUGAAAUAUAUUAUUAUUAAUAGUAUAAAUAUAUGAUUGAUGAAUGUAAUAAAAUGUAUAUAUUAAAACAGAAAUGUAUAAAAACUAUUAAAAUAAAAGUUUAGUUGAUUGGUAAGUUUAAAGUUUUAUUAAUCCAAUUGGCAUAUGUUCUAAUCCCACUAUUUAAAUUUUUAAGGUUUUUGUUAAAAUAAAAAAAACUAAAAUACUUUUGAAUAAUAUAAUUUAUUUUAAUUAUGGAAUGACAUUUUCGUAAUUUCUCUCACCAAGUUAAUGACCCGGCUGAAGGUAACACUAAUUUAAUGUAACACUUAAUAAAUAAUAUAGAUAAAAAAAUGCUAAAAAUGUGCGUCCGCAAUGAAUAUUGAGAGGGGCGAACAAAUGUAAAGUUGUAGUUAUAGCCCCUUAAAGAUAAUUACAUUAUAAAUUAAUAAAGGGUAAAAUUAUACUUUGACCCCAAAAAAUUUAAAAAAUGUAUUUAGUCCCUUCAAAAAAAUGAAAUCAUAAUUUAAUACAUAAUAAAAUCCAUAUUUUGACAUCUCAAGAUUUUAUAAUUUAAUUUUGACCCCCUAAAAAGAAUUUUGAAUUUAUCCCUAAAUAUCGACAUACAAGAACACAUAAUUCAUGUGAAUCUAAAUAUCCACUCAUCCAUAUUCAUUAUCCACAUAAUUUUUUAAUAAUUUUAUAUUUUUAUAAUUUCACAUAAUAAAUUCUCAAUUUUAGUUUUUUUGUUUUUUUGAAUUUUGAUGAAAUGAACUUGGACAUGACUUUGUUAAAAUUCGUUCUCAACAUGCAGUUUUUUUUUAAAAAAAUAUGUUUUUUUUCCACUUUAAAAAAAUAAUUUAAAAAUCUCAAAUUUUAUAUUUUUAUAAAUGAUCUAAGUUUAUAUAUUUUUGAAAAUUUUUCAGGUUUUUAAAUUUUUAUAAAUUUCUAAAUUUAUAUAUAUUUGAAAUAUUUUAGGUUUUUCUUUAUAAAUUUCAAUACUUUUUAUAUUUUAAAAAAUUCAUUUAGUGGUAUCACACUUACUCAAAGUAUCCUACAUGAGUUAGUAGGAUUUUUGUUUUCCCUAGUAUAAAAAUUUGAGUUAUUUGGUAAUAAAGUUGUCGUGAUUUAAGGGAUAAACUUUUGACUAUUCAUCUUUAUAAUAAAAGGAUAAUCUUUCACAAGUUGACCAAUUGAUCAUGGAUUGUUUAUUUAUAGGGACUAUCAUUUGAAAAUCAUUUAAACCUUCGAGAGAGGAGUUUUUACACAGAUGACAGAAGAGAGAGUUUUAGUGCAAGCGAAUUUUGAAAGUAUAAUAUAUUAUUACUAAUUAGACUUCGAAACAUUAAAGUUUAUUGGCUUUGAUUAAAAAUAACAAUGUUAUAACUGGAAUAAGUUACACGGGACAUGUUUCCAGGAAUGGUACUCUUGAGCAACUACAAAAUGGAUAAUUUGGGUCAUUUUGCAUCUUUUGAAGAGAAACAGCUAGUUUGAAAGUAUAUCCUUAAGAUUGUCAAAAGAAGAAAAUCCUUAAGUGGCUGUAAAUAACUUAAGAUCGAAUCCAGAGACAACUUUUGGUUUGUCGGGGUUAGCGCUCACUUGGAGAAAAAAUCCUGUGUGCAGGUUUGGGUUUUUGAAAUUGGAGAGUCAUACCUUUCUUGGUUAGUACUUAUCAUUUGUACAACGAUAGGUAAAAGAUAUUUUUAAAAUAUUUUAAUGGAUAUUGAAACGGUACAAGAAUUAAGAAAACUAGAUUCCUUAUCAGAGUGAAAAAUACUUUUAAAAAUAGUUAUAUUUUUCGAAUGAUUAUUUUUAAUAUAAAUUAUUAUUUUAGUGGGUAACUUUUUUAAAAGAGUAAAAUAUAAAUGUAUCUUAGUUUAAUAAGUCUAUUAUAAGUAAAUUGUAGUAUUCGAAUUGAUGCUACUGAUAUUAAGCUCAAUUAAUUGAUGAUUAUAUUCAUAAUUUAUUUUCAAAUAAAUUACAUUGUCUCUCAACUAAGAAAGUGGGCAAAAAAAACUCAGAUUUCAUUACUUUUUGAGCAAGUCUUUCUACUAUGGAGAGUGUGAGGAUAUAGAUCAUCUCUUCCAAGAAUGCAAUUUUGCAAGAGCGGUGUGAUUCGGUUCCUCUACAGGAAUCCAAACAUGUUGUCAAAACACUAACUCAAUUCACAAAUGAAUUUGUGCGAUCCUAAAGCAAACGAGUUAAUGAAUGGCAAGCAAUUGAGAGACAUUCACAAGUUUUGUCAUUAUCUUAUGAAGCUUUAAGAUCUUGUUUGAAGGAAGCUACCCAAACUCGAUCACAGUCAUUAAAUUUGCCACUGAGCUAGCUCAUCCCACUAUCAUGGCAUACUCAAGCUGGAACACCCCAAAGGUAAAGAAAUAUAGAAAAUCCCUAGUCAUAGCAAACUCUGAACCAACCACAUACUAUUACAUUUUCCUCAAACGGGAAAGGAGGAAUUCAGAGGUGAGUGGGGUUAUCAUUAUUAAAACCCAUGAUCUUAGAACAUAGAACAUUGAGGGUUGUUCGUGAAAGUUCGUCAAAAUUUUAAUUAGAAACACAAAAUUACGUGCAAACUUUGUCACAUAAUUAAGAAACUGUAUAUAUUAGAGUUGUAUGACUCAAAUUUUAAGAAAUUGUUUACAAGUCAAGUUAAACAAAAUAUAUCUUAUUUCUAAAAGAUUUAGUAUUUAUGAGCAUAAUAUAUUUAACAUUUAUUAACAUAAUAUAUUUAACUUUAAUUAGAAUUAAGUUUUUUUAUCCUAUAAAUAGAUAUAGUCGAAAUUACUCUUAAAAUCAUUCGAAUUCGACAUAAUGAUAAUAAAGUAAUAAUAAAAUUUUAUAGAAUAAAGUGAGGCCCCACUCUUUAUUGUAAAGGAGAAGAAUUAAUUAUCACAUGUCCACUAGUUAAGGAUUUGGAAAAAUAAUAAAUAGAAAUAGAAUUGAUAUCUCAACUAUACUAAAUUUAUGAUUUGCUAUUGACCCUAGCUGACCCAGUCAUUAAAAACAAGACCCCAGUCAUUAAAAACAAUACCCUCCCCGAAUUCAUUGAAACCAAAGUAUUUGAGUAACGUCGAUACAUUUUGUAAAGGAGAAGAAUUAAUUAUCACAUGUCCACUAGUUAAGGAUUUGGAAAAAUAAUAAAUAGAAAUAGAAUUGAUAUCUCAACUAUACUAAAUUUAUGAUUUGCUAUUGACCCUAGCUGACCCAGUCAUUAAAAACAAGACCCCAGUCAUUAAAAACAAUACCCUCCCCGAAUUCAUUGAAACCAAAGUAUUUGAGUAACGUCGAUACAUUUUGUAAAGGAGAAGAAUUAAUUAUCACAUGUCCACUAGUUAAGGAUUUGGAAAAAUAAUAAAUAGAAAUAGAAUUGAUAUCUCAACUAUACUAAAUUUAUGAUUUGCUAUUGACCCUAGCUGACCCAGUCAUUAAAAACAAGACCCCAGUCAUUAAAAACAAUACCCUCCCCGAAUUCAUUGAAACCAAAGUAUUUGAGUAACGUCGAUACAUUUUGUAAAGGAGAAGAAUUAAUUAUCACAUGUCCACUAGUUAAGGAUUUGGAAAAAUAAUAAAUAGAAAUAGAAUUGAUAUCUCAACUAUACUAAAUUUAUGAUUUGCUAUUGACCCUAGCUGACCCAGUCAUUAAAAACAAGACCCCAGUCAUUAAAAACAAUACCCUCCCCGAAUUCAUUGAAACCAAAGUAUUUGAGUAACGUCGAUACAUUUUGUAAAGGAGAAGAAUUAAUUAUCACAUGUCCACUAGUUAAGGAUUUGGAAAAAUAAUAAAUAGAAAUAGAAUUGAUAUCUCAACUAUACUAAAUUUAUGAUUUGCCAUUGACCCUAGCUGACCCAGUCAUUAAAAACAAGACCCCAGUCAUUAAAAACAAUACCCCCAGUCAUUGAAAACAAUACCCUGCCCGAAUUCAUUGAAACCAGAGUAUUUUGUAACGUCAAUUUUAAAUUAAGAUUCUCGAAGAUCUGAGAGGAGUCAACAAAAUUAUUAAUAAAUUUUUUUUGUCAUAUCUCACAUGAUCCUAUUUAAUAAUAUAAUUUCACGUGAAAGGUUUUUUCAUGUUACUUUCUUUUCUCUUUUAAUUAUUCAUUCUUGCAAUUUGUUUUUUUUCCUCAAUUCUUUAACUAACCGUUGAAGGCAUCAUUUCUAAUUCUUCAAUAAUGUUUAUAUACAUUGAAACUAUUUCGAAUAUCAUUAUUGUAGUUUAAAUUAGAAUGUUUUAGAAUUAAUUCUCAAUUUGAUAUAAAGCAUCAAAGGAUACUAAACUAUUUUUCAUUAAUGUUCUUUAGCGUAUACCCACAUGACCAGUUUUUCGUUAAGGCUGGUCUUGAAAAUAGAAACCCAUACAUUAUAAAGUGACCCACUUUAUAUAUGCUGCUUCAAGUUCUAUUGAAGUAGCAUAUUUUGGAUAUGCGGCGGUGGUCACAGAUGAAAGGAAACUGUUUUGGGAAGAAGGGGUAUUAUUAUUUAAUGUAGUGGAGAUAAAAUAAGCUGAGGAUGCUAAUAUAUUGUCAGGUGUUAGUCCAAGGAGAGGAUUUUUUUUUUAAAUUAAGUCAAAUAUAUUAUAAAAUCUUGUAGAAGUACGAAAUUAUAAGAAAAUAUAUAAAGGAAUAUUUAUAGAAUUAAAACAUAUGUUAUAAAAUAUAACUAAAAAUAGAAAUUUAAUAUAAAAGUAUUUUAGUAAAUAUAUCGAGUUGGGCAAAUUUCACCUAAGCCUAAUCUUGACCUGACCAAAAAAAUCUUGUGUUUUAAAGCCUACCUCGAAUUUUUUUAAAGCCUUUUAACAAGUCGGGAUAGAUCAAAAUUUGUUGGAUUCAAUUUUUAGUAGAUUAAAUAAUUAAUAAUUUUGUUUACUGUUUUUAAUAUUUAAGAUAAAAGGAGAUUAGGGAUAAACUACAUAAUUGGUCAUUUAACUUUCAUAAAUUUUUAUUUUAGGCAUCAAAAUAAAAAAAAAUUGCAAUAAGAGGACUGCCGUUACCAAAAACUUUCAUUUUGGUUAUCCGCCAUUAAUUUGGGAUUAAAAAAUAUUAUUAUACACUUAUUUUAGUCACUUAGUUUUGUUAGUUUUUAUUUUAGUUAAUUGUUUAUUUUUUAGAAUUAACUCUAAUAAAGGGGGAAAUAAAAUAAAUUAAAAAGAUAAAUUUGUUUUUCCUUUAAAAACUUAACUCCAAUAUUUUGCUUACUGAGAAAAAAAUUUAACUAAUGUUAAAAAAAAGUAAAAUAUUAUCUCUCUAAAAAAACCUAGAUUUCCCCUUUACUGAAAUAAAAUAAAAUUAAUUAUAAAAACGAAAAAAUAUAAGAUAAAAUAGGUUAUUAAAAUGAAAAAUUAUUAAAAUUAAAUGAUUAAAAUAAGUGUAAAAUAAUAUUACCUAAUCUUAAAUUAAAGAUACAUUAUCAAAAUAAAAAUAAUUAUUAACAAGAGUACCCUUAUUACAAAUUUUUUAUUUUCCAUGUAUUUUAGAAAGUGCCUAACAGCUCUAACAGCUCUAAAAUUAAGAGGACAUGGUGUCCAACUGUCCCUGGAACCAGCAGAGGAUAAGCUUUAUUUUAUCCAAUUGAAUACCACCAGUCCUCAACUUCAGCUUGAGAUCAUAUAUAUUUUCUGGAGAAAAGUAACAUUCUAACAUUUCUUUUCACUAACUUUUAUGAAUUUCUUUAAAUUUUUAUAAAUUUCUAAAUUUAUAUAUAUUUGAAAUAUUUUAAGUUUUUCUUUAUAAAUUUCAAUACUUUUUAUAUUUUAAAAAAUGCAUUUAGUGAUAUCACACUUACUCAAAGUAUCCUACAUGAGUUAGUGGGAUUUUUGUUUUCCUAGUAUAAAAAUUUGAGUUAUUUGGUAAUAAAAUUGUUGUGAUUUAAGGGAUAAACUUUUGACUAUUCAUCUUUAUAAUAAAAGGAUAAUCUUUCACAAGUUGACUAAUUGAUCAUGGAUUGUUUAUUUAUAGGGACUAUCAUUUAGAAAUCAUUUAACUCUUCGAGAGAGGAAUUUUUACAUAGAUGACAGAAAAGAGGGUUUUUAGUGCAAGCGAAUUUUGAAAGUAUGCACACAAAAGUGUACAACAUCAAGACCGUAGUAAUCAUAAAAGGUCGAGUAAUUUAAUAGUAAUCGGUGCUUGUACCGUUUACUUUACUAGGGUGUGAUCAACCAAGUGGCCUAAACAAUUUCUAUAUUUUUACAUUACAAUAAUAUCAAUCAACUUUGCUUUGAAUUUCAUGGAUGUUGAACAGAAGUUGAGGAGGAACCAGACCAUGCUGUUGAACUUGAAUAUAUUGAUGAUUGAGUAAUCGGGGUGAUUUCACUACUCUUCCGAGACUGCAUUUGGUUAAAUUGGUCUUUUAGUACUCCAAAUCUCGACUCAUCAGCAAAGAUACUUGGGUCCAUAAUUAAUUUAGGAACAAGGGCUCGACCUUCAAGCAUGUUUACUACUUCAGACAUGGUCGGUCUAAGUGCUGGGGAUGAAUUAGUGCACAAUAAAGCAACCUUUGCCAUCCUAAUUGCCUCUUCUUCAUUGAACUCCUUCCCCAACCUUGGAUCCACCAGCUCCAUUAAGUUUCCCUUUUGUUGCAAAACUAGAGCCUGAAAUACAUUGAUGACAUAAUCGAACUUCAACAUUAACUAAAUUAACAUGAGUAAGGCAUUAAUGACUUUGCAGAAGUUCAAUGCACCAAUCAGUUACAAUGCAUGGAUGUUUCUAUGAUGAUAUUCUCAUAUUAUAACUUGAAACAUGGAUUAUAUCUUACCCGAUCUUGAAGGCAUACAUAAUCGCCUUCUGGUCGAUAUUUUGUAUUGUUCUUCCCGGCAACAAUCUCUAAUGCGACAAUCCCGAAACUAUAAACAUCUGCCUUGUAGGUCAGAUAGCCCCAUAAUGCAUAUUCUGGGGCCAUGUAUCCUCUGCAAAAAUUGGAGCUUUAAGCACAACAUUCUCAUGCAUAUCAACUUUGUUCACCUUUCCAUAAGCAAGGUUGGAGGCUUUGAUCUCAUUUUUACUGCUUUAUAGUUUAAAUAUUGAUGCAUCAUUCAAUUUGCAGUACGUAAUAUUUUGUCUAUGAUGGUAGCAGCUUGACAAAUCUAUUGUUUUGUUUGAUUCAACUAAAACAUGCAAUGAUGAUCAGCAGAUGAAAACAGAGGGGAGGUCGCUCACAUAGUUCCAGCAAUUCUGGUGCUAAUAUGGGUGUUUUCCCCUUCAUCAAACUUGGCCAAACCGAAGUCGGAGAUCUUAGCAUUGAGAUUGCUAUC
Molecule: long non-coding RNA, 34375 nt
Filed under: Gossypium barbadense (sea-island cotton)
Lineage: Eukaryota; Viridiplantae; Streptophyta; Magnoliopsida; Malvales; Malvaceae
Description: long non-coding RNA (GBAR_LNC016087)
Source: RNAcentral